Molecule: RNA transcript, 1059 nt
Organism: Papaver somniferum (opium poppy)
Lineage: Eukaryota; Viridiplantae; Streptophyta; Magnoliopsida; Ranunculales; Papaveraceae
Exons: 6
Source: RefSeq, a predicted model, not a curated record
UCAAUUUUUUUUGGAUUUGAACCCUAACAAUUUUUUAGCGGGAUGAAAAUCAAAAAAAAUCCUUUUGGCCGGGAUUAUUUCCCGCUUGGUUUUUUGGAAUAGCUAUAAAUUUAAACCCUAAAGUCAAUUAAGAGAUGUUAAAGAGAUUUAUCUUUUCGAGGGAUUAUUAGAGAUCAAAAACAGCGAGAUGACUGGAGGAAUUAUGACCACUCUUUGUUCGGUUGAAAGCAUCCCCACAUUCAACUGUUCUCCCUCGUCUCCUAGACGAAGCCCCAUAUUGUCUGAAUCAGGUCAUGAUGAACUGCAUGAUGAGCUGCAUGGAACGAUCACAAGUGAAGGAUCGGUAUACAGGUGGUAGGAAAGGUGUACCUAGAACGUGGCUUGAAAUGGAAAAAGAAAGUCCCACUGGUGAGAUAUAUAGGACAGACGUGUUUGUGAAGACACAUAAAGUCACCCCAGACGAUAAUCCCUCAUCUUCUAAAUCACUGGCAGCUGCAACAUUAGCAUUGGUGAAGAGGAAUAUGAUAAAGAUCCUUUAGCACAAAAGUGUUUGGGAACCGACGCUGUUACCAAGAUUUUUGGCGCUGAUGGAAAGGGGUAAUGGGUGCUGGUGUUUCUAAAUCUCAGUUUCUUGCUGUUAAGUUUAUGAAGACCAGGUUGCAGAAAGAGAAGCAGAAAGCCGAAGCUUUGAAAGCACAGUUGGAUGUUGAAAGACAGAAAAACAACACUGGAGUACAUGAUCAUAUCUCUAAUACCUCUUACCAGCAGGAUAUUGGUAUGCCAGUGAUACCCUCGUCGUUUGGUAUUUUCUUUUUGAGCUUAAGGAAAAAGCCGGUUGCAGUUGCAUAUGUCGAAACUAAGGUGCUGAUUGAUGACGAUUACGACUGCAUGCUUCAAGGAGUCAUUGAGCCAAAUGCAAUGUUGUGCGACAGAGAUGAUGUUGUACUUCAAGAUGUUCCUAUAGGUACUCUUAUUAGGUGUCCAAGGGCCUAUGUGACUCCCAUAGCAGAGCUAUCAAGUUAGAGCGGCAGUGACAAUAAAUUGAUUACUUUUUUGAGU